This 165-nucleotide ribosomal RNA is filed under the name uncultured bacterium. RNAcentral's name for it is "partial 16S rRNA". It matches the Rfam family "Bacterial small subunit ribosomal RNA", at positions 355 to 511 of the family's 1533-position model. The record is from RNAcentral.
UAGGGAAUCUUCGGCAAUGGGGGCAACCCUGACCGAGCAACGCCGCGUGAGUGAAGAAGGUUUUCGGAUCGUAAAGCUCUGUUGUAAGAGAAGAACGUGUGUGAGAGUGGAAAGUUCACACAGUGACGGUAACUUACCAGUAAGGGACGGCUAACUACGUGCCAC